Molecule: long non-coding RNA, 1796 nt
Organism: Mytilus californianus (California mussel)
Lineage: Eukaryota; Metazoa; Mollusca; Bivalvia; Mytilida; Mytilidae
Exons: 3
Source: RefSeq, a predicted model, not a curated record
AUACACAGGACUGGUAUAUAACAACAAACUGGAUUAACCACACCAUAAAAAUACACUUUGAUACUUGCUUCAUAGAAAAUUCUAAAGAUGUAUGUUUGUUUGAUUACCUUUACGUGUAUGAUGGGGCAAACUCAAGUAGUACAGAAAUGAUGAAAACCUGUUGUGGAGAUAAACACAGUGCAACAUUAGAAAGUUCGACUGGAGAGAUGUAUUUCUUGUUUGAGACAGACAAUACGGUAGGAGACACUGGUUUUGAGAUCGAAUACUGGUCUAAUGGUAUCACAACGACAACUACGACAACGACAGUGGCUCCUUCUACCGAUAACACCCGUUAUAUCAUCAUAGCUUGCGUGAUCACAGGUCUGUUAGUGAUUAUUGUAGCUGUCCUCAUAGUGGUUGUGGUCAUGAAGAAAAAUAAAGCAGCUACUUAUCCUCGACCAUUCUUGGUUGAUGACGGAAAACCAAUACAGCCGGACUCAAGGAAUACCAAAUUCAAAAAUGGCCAAAAGAUGAUGGCUUUCCCUGUUCCACCACCUACACCACCGCUGCAUACAGUUAUGCCACAGGCAGAAACAAAUUUGUUUGAUUUAGAACUUCCGGAAAAGGGACGUGCUAAUCGUCUGCCUCCAUUGUAUAGUUCAAUCGACACAUCAAACACAAAUUGAGAUUAUCAAUAGAUUUAUAUGAUUUGUACCCCAAUGCAUUAUAAAGGCAUCUCGUCAAAAGUUAAUAUUUCUCUUUUUUAUUCAACACUUUAUUGUCAAUCGAUUAUUCAACAUAGCAACAUGUCGGCAUUAUAUGAAACACUUAAUUACAAUUGUUCACUAGUUCACACAAUGUAGGCCUGGAAUUUGCAUUUGGUAAGGUUAAUAGUUGUUUUCUUCAUGUGCAAAAGAUUUCACAGAUGUUUUUAUUUUCCGUGUCUUAAAGAGGUAGGUUAUGCACCUUUCCUCCCCAAAAAAACUUUAUCUGAAACUUAAUGAAAUUUUACUUUACAACAUGUCAAGUUAACUUUUGAAAUUUCAAUAAGAAAUUUUCCACUAAAACAACUGUUUAUGAUCAGGUUACUGUAUUGCUCACGAGAUCUUUUUUGAUUUUUUUAAAAUGCAAGUGAUACAUAGGUUUAUUCGUGUUUCUAACAUAGGAUCUCUGGAAAACAUGCAGCCAUUGUGGACUUCUUGUCUUUCUCACUUCGAGAAAAAUUAUAAUAUCACAAAAUACAAAUGUUGAUUUUUUACAUUAUAAGCUAGCUAAAGCAAAAUUAUUUUCUUUAGAAAAUAUGUACUGAAAUCCCUCAUCAACUUUAAAAUUACCCGCUGCAAAAUGGCGGCAUAUUUUUUCGCAGCAGUACUUUACAUUACAUUAUAUGUCAGAUGAAAAUAUAAAAUUUCGAAAACUCCCAAAAGGCAAGGUGAGAGAGUUAACUCUUGACGAGGUUCAUACAUUGAGAUUUUUCAGGGCUUUCAAACAUCAGCAUUACUCGAAGAAGAACUUCCAAAUUCUAAUUUUUACUGUAGAUAAUCUACUUCACUGGAAUAAUAACUAAACAUACAAACUCUAUUUUGAUUUUGUUUUCUCAUUUCUGUAUUUUCAGAGAUAGUUGUGCUUAAAUUAUAUCUUUACUUUGAAUUAAACCUCUUUGUGUUUUCUGUAAAAAAAAAUGCAAUAAUUAAAUAAAUAUGAAUAUAAAGCAAUGUAUCCUCGAUUUACUAUAUCAAUUUUAAUCUAUUUCACGCAAAUUUUUGAAAAACUAGAAUGCUUCUAUGUAACGGUUGACGGUGAAGAAACAAAUCUAU